This 442-nucleotide ribosomal RNA is filed under the name uncultured bacterium. RNAcentral describes it as "partial 16S ribosomal RNA". It matches the Rfam family "Bacterial small subunit ribosomal RNA", at positions 338 to 795 of the family's 1533-position model. The record is from RNAcentral.
CCUACGGGCGGCAGCAGUAGGGAAUCUUUCACAAUGGGCGAAAGCCUGAUGGAGCAACGCCGCGUGCAGGAUGAAGGCCUUCGGGUUGUAAACUGCUUUUAUAAGCGAGAAAGAUGAUGGUAACUGAGGAAUAAGGACCGGCAAACAAGGGGCAAGCAGCGGCGGUCAAACGAAGGAUCCGAGCAUUAUCCGGAGUGCCUGGGUGUCAAGAUUGGCGUAGGUGGCCUAAUAAGUAGCUAGUGAAAUCUGGUGGCUCAACCAUUCAGACUAUUAGCUAAACUGUUAAGCUCGAGACCGUUAGGGGUAACUGGAAUUUCUAGUGUAGGCGUGAAAUCCGUAGAUAUUAGCAGGAACACCAAUCGCGUAGGCAGGUUGCUGGGACGGUUCUGACACUCAGGCACGAAAGCGUCGGGAGCAAACGGGAUUAGAUACCCUUGUAGUC